Long non-coding RNA from Candoia aspera, 581 nucleotides. RefSeq lists it as uncharacterized. NCBI's taxonomy places the organism in Eukaryota, Metazoa, Chordata, Lepidosauria, Squamata, Candoiidae. The record is from RefSeq and is a predicted model, not a curated record. The transcript has 2 exons.
CAUUUGUUAUUUUAAUAUAAGCAUGUGGAGUUCCAGCAGCAUUGCCCUAAAGCAGAUUUCAACAGAGUCUACUUGUUUGUUAAAAUAGAUCUGUUUUCAAACAUUUACCCAGCUCAAUUAAUUGUGUCAACUGUAUUCAUAGUCAAAUUGGCUAUGUUGAUGAUGCAGGUGUUGAUUCUAGACUGGAUUAGCGUGAUGCGUUCUGUUUAGGACCACUUAUGAAAGGUCUGAGGAAAUUCAGCUGGUCCAGAAUGCACCAGCAAGAAUGUUGGUGGGUGCUUUCAGGGAGGACCAUAUUCUAGCAGUGCUGCAAGGGCCACAGUGGCUGCAAGUUUGUUUCCAAGCACACCUCAGUGUCGUUGAUGAUCUUUAAAACCCUAAAGGCUUAAAUCUAGGAUGCUUUAGGAAUCACCGUCUCCCACCUAAGCCUUCCCAUGUCCUCAGAUAUGAUGGAGAAGCCUUUCUCUGUAUCGCAGCUGUGGUAGAAGCAAGUUUGGUUGGAACAUGAAAAAGGAUCUUCUCAGUGACCGCAUCAGUAAUUGGUCAUCUGAAGUUUCGAAUAAAGUACAUCCCAUCCCAUA